UUUACCCUGGGGUGUGCGUCAGCAGGAUUUACGUCCCUGAGCCGAUAAGCAACACUAAAGGGUUGGUAUUCGUUGACUAUUGAGCAAGCUCGGCCUGGACCGAGAAGCCUACGGUUGACCUUAUUGACCCGCCUUGAACCAGCUGGUUCAAGGGCUAAAAUCCUCAACGGCACUCUGGGGUUCCU
This 185-nucleotide non-coding RNA is filed under the name Vibrio agarilyticus. RNAcentral's name for it is "6S / SsrS RNA". It matches the Rfam family "6S / SsrS RNA". Rfam says of the family: E. coli 6S RNA was the first non coding RNA to be sequenced, but its function was unknown until recently. It consists of 184 nucleotides that fold into an extended hairpin structure with a large single-stranded internal bulge. The 6S RNA specifically associates with RNA polymerase holoenzyme containing the sigma70 specificity factor. The record is from Rfam by way of RNAcentral. Lineage: Bacteria; Pseudomonadati; Pseudomonadota; Gammaproteobacteria; Vibrionales; Vibrionaceae.